GUACUCAUUUCAGUGGUAUAUGUAUUAAAAGCAGAAAGAUACAGAGAAGAUAAGCAUAAUUCCUCCACAGGGGUGACAUGCAAAUCAUGAAGUGUUCCAUAUUAUU
Dromiciops gliroides (monito del monte) is the source of this 106-nucleotide small nuclear RNA. The record is from RefSeq and is a predicted model, not a curated record. Lineage: Eukaryota; Metazoa; Chordata; Mammalia; Microbiotheria; Microbiotheriidae.